RNAcentral lists this ribosomal RNA (484 nucleotides) under uncultured bacterium. RNAcentral's name for it is "partial 16S ribosomal RNA". It matches the Rfam family "Bacterial small subunit ribosomal RNA", at positions 30 to 507 of the family's 1533-position model. The record is from RNAcentral.
AUUGAACGCUGGCGGCAGGCCUAACACAUGCAAGUCGAGCGGAUGAAGGGAGCUUGCUCCUGGAUUCAGCGGCGGACGGGUGAGUAAUGCCUAGGAAUCUGCCUGGUAGUGGGGGAUAACGUCCGGAAACGGGCGCUAAUACCGCAUACGUCCUGAGGGAGAAAGUGGGGGUUCUUCGGACCUCACGCUAUUAGAUGAGCCUAGGUCGGAUUAGCUAGUUGGUGGGGUAAGGGCCUACCAAGGCGACGAUCCGUAACUGGUCUGAGAGGAUGAUCUGUCACACUGGAACUGAGACACGGUCCAGACUCCUACGGGAGGCAGCAGUAGGGAAUAUUGGACAAUGGGCGAAAGCCUGAUCCAGCCAUGCCGCGUGUGUGAAGAAGGUCUUCGGAUUGUAAAGCACUUUAAGUUGGGAGGAAGGACAGUAAGUUAAUACCUUGCUGUUUUGACGUUACCAACAGAAUAAGCACCGGCUAACUUCGUG